GCUGAAAACAACUCACUUCACAACUCACAUUUUACUGGAAAACACAACAAAACACAGACAAACACAUGAGACAGAACUUCAUCACACUUCCUGCUUGUGUAUUGGUCAUGCUGGUGCACUGCUCUCCAGAACUGUGGAAAACUGGGAGAUCCGAGGGGUUCCUCCUCGCCCGGCCACAGAUUUUCUGUGUGCUCUGAUACAGACUGCUCAUACAGGUCUACUGCAUACUUGAUAACAUCAUUAAGACUUUCCUGAAAAAUACCAUCUCAGGACUGUGGUUCGACUCAGAAAUCUUCUCGACUGGAGGAUGAAAUGUUUCCCUGAGUGCUGCUGAAUAUUCUGGAGACUUUUAUGUUGAAAUUCUUGCUCCAAGCCAUCCACGGCUCCCUUGCUCCAAGCCAUCCACGGCUCCCUUGCUCAAAGCCUUCCAUGGCUCCUUGCUCCAAGCCAGCACCCACACCUGCCACGGCCAAUGAGCUGGAAGCCUCAUGCGUCCCAGAGUCAGCAUUGCCAACUUCGGCCAGGAGGAGGAGAAGAAAGGCUUCUGUUCCCACGUUUCUUCCCAUGUACACGACCAUGGAGGUUGUUUCCAAGUCUCUGCCCAUGUUCACGACCACAGAGGUCAUUCCCGAGUCUCUGCCUGCGUUCAUGACCACAGAGGUCGUUCCCGAGCCCCCAACUCCACCUCAGCCCUCUGAACCUCUGGCUCCGCCUUGGUCCUCCGAGCCUGCAGCGUUGCCCUGGCUCCGCCUUGGUCUCAAGCCUCCCUGACUUUGCCUUGUUCCUCUGCUCCCCUUGCACCUUGUGCCCCCUUGAACUGCCUGUUUCCCCCUUCCCCUCACAUCCCAUGGGCAAUUUUUUAUUUUUGUGUAGCGUCUGGAAUCCACUCCUUAAAGGGGGGCUCUGUCAUGUAUUUCCUGUUUUUGCCUAGACUUUUAUGUUGAAAUUCUUGUUUAGUUUCCCGUUCCUGUUUUCUGUGUUAGUUUUGUAGUCCUUUUGUAGUUUUAUUUCAUGAUUGGCUCUCCUUGAUUGUUUCCCCAGGUGUUCCUUGUUUUCCCUUGUGUAUUUAAGCCCUUAUUUUCCCUGGUUAGUUUGUCAGUCUUCACAUGUGUUUGUUAUGCUCUGUACUUGGUUCCCUGUGUUUUGUUUUCUUUAUAUUCUGAGCUACUUUAUCUUUGUUUAUUAAAGCUACGUUUAGAUCCUCAUUUUUCGCCUGCCUUGUUACAAUAUGAGUGACUUUUGUAUUCAAGGACAUUACAGUUUAAGGCCUGUUCACACCAAGUCCAUUUUUUUUCAGUACGGAUGUUUGUUCCGAACGAGAUUUAUGGUAACAAUGCAAUCCUAUGGCGCUAUGCACAUCAGGAAUCCGAAGAUAUUUUUUUUUUUACGGAGAGUGUUCUGUUUUUUUUUGUUUUGUUUUUUCUUCAGAUUGUGAUUAAAACUGACUGACCAAUGAGAAGACAUUUUUGUCAGUUGCUGCAGCUAAUCAACUGGUAAACACUGGCAUACAUGCAGCUGAUACACUCCCCCAAAUAUUAUAUAGUUAAAAAUAAAUAGUUGCAGUUCAUGAACUUGUACUGCAAAUAUAAACCCAGUCUGUUUUUGAAAGUCUGCUUAUGGUGUUUUAUUUUAAUGUACAUUAUUUAAUAUGUAUAUCACUGUGCCUGUUAUAUUCUCAUGGCAUUAAAAAUAGCAGCAAGUGUAGAAAAUCUCAAAAAAAGACUCUUUUUCAUGCAGUACUUUACUGUAGACAAACGAAUUGCAGAAACACACUGCUAUUUGUAAUGCAAGUGUACCACAACAAAGUAUUGCAAUAAUUUUAAUAAAGACAGAGAGCCAAGGAUAUUCUUUUAUAUUUGUAUAUUAUGCAUCACAUUUUAUAAUAUACCUGUUAUUCUUAAUGUAUA
Myxocyprinus asiaticus (Chinese sucker) is the source of this 1907-nucleotide long non-coding RNA. RefSeq lists it as uncharacterized. Lineage: Eukaryota; Metazoa; Chordata; Actinopteri; Cypriniformes; Catostomidae. The transcript has 4 exons. The record is from RefSeq and is a predicted model, not a curated record.